ACUGCUCAGUAACACGUGGAUAACCUACCCAAGAGUCCGGGAUAACCCCGGGAAACUGGGGAUAAUACCGGAUAGGUCAGACUUGCUGGAAGGCUGUUUGGCUGAAACUUCCGGGGCUUUUGGAUGGGUCUGCGGCUGAUUAGGUUGUUGCCGGUGUAACGUACCGUCAAGCCUGUAAUCAGUACGGGUUGUGGGAGCAAGAGCCCGGAGAUGGAUUCUGAGACACGAAUCCAGGCCCUACGGGGCGCAGCAGGCGCGAAAACUCUACAAUGCAGGCAACUGCGAUAGGGGAACAUCGAGUGAUCCUCAUAUUGGGGGUCUGUCCACCCGCCUAAAAAGCGGGUGUUAGCAAGGGCCGGGCAAGACCGGUGCCAGCCGCCGCGGUAAUACCGGCGGCUCGAGUGGUGGCCGAUAUUAUUGAGUCUAAAGGGUCCGUAGCCGGCUUUGCAAGUCUCUCGGGAAAUCCAGCGGCUUAACCGUUGGUCGUCCGGGGGGUACUACAUUGCUUGGGACUGGGAGAGGUAGGAGGUACUCAGGGGGUAGGAGUGAAAUCCUGUAAUCCUUUGGGGACCACCGGUGGCGAAGGCGUCCUACCAGAACAGGUCCGACGGUGAGGGACGAAAGCUAGGGGCACGAACCGGAUUAGAUACCCGGGUAGUCCUAGCCGUAAACGAUGCUCGCUAGGUGUCACAACAGUCGUGAACUGUUGUGGUGCCGUAGGGAGGCCGUGAAGCGAGCCACUUGGGAAGUACGACCGCAAGGUUGAAACUUAAAGGAAUUGGCGGGGGAGCAC
RNAcentral lists this ribosomal RNA (793 nucleotides) under uncultured archaeon. RNAcentral describes it as "bacterial SSU rRNA". It matches the Rfam family "Archaeal small subunit ribosomal RNA", at positions 85 to 879 of the family's 1478-position model. The record is from RNAcentral.